UACGGGGGGGGCAAGCGUUGUUCGGAAUUACUGGGCGUAAAGGGCUCGUAGGCGGCCAACUAAGUCAGACGUGAAAUCCCUCGGCUUAACCGGGGAACUGCGUCUGAUACUGGAUGGCUUGAAUCCGGGAGAGGGAUGCGGAAUUCCAGGUGUAGCGGUGAAAUGCGUAGAUAUCUGGAGGAACACCGGUGGCGAAGGCGGCAUCCUGGACCGGCAUUGACGCUGAGGAGCGAAAGCCAGGGGAGCAGACGGG
Molecule: ribosomal RNA, 253 nt
Filed under: uncultured bacterium
Lineage: Bacteria
Description: partial 16S ribosomal RNA
Rfam family: Bacterial small subunit ribosomal RNA
Source: RNAcentral